Molecule: ribosomal RNA, 139 nt
Filed under: uncultured bacterium
Lineage: Bacteria
Description: partial 16S ribosomal RNA
Rfam family: Bacterial small subunit ribosomal RNA
Source: RNAcentral
UGGGGAAUAUUGCACAAUGGGGGGAAACCCGUGAUGCAGCGACGCCGCGUGAGUGAAGAAGUAUUUCGGUAUGUAAAGCUCUAUCAGUAGGGAAGAAAAUGACGGUACCUGACUAAGAAGCCCCGGCUAACUACGUGCC